GGCGUUAUAGUAAAAUAGGUAUUGCGGUAGUUUGCAAAAUUACUUGUAUAGGUUCGAGCCCUGUUAACGUCU
Molecule: transfer RNA, 72 nt
Filed under: Callyspongia plicifera (azure vase sponge)
Lineage: Eukaryota; Metazoa; Porifera; Demospongiae; Haplosclerida; Callyspongiidae
Description: tRNA-Cys
Rfam family: tRNA
About the family: Transfer RNA (tRNA) molecules are approximately 80 nucleotides in length. Their secondary structure includes four short double-helical elements and three loops (D, anti-codon, and T loops).
Source: RNAcentral